RNA transcript from Zea mays, 1800 nucleotides. It is a transcript of the gene named heat shock protein pseudogene, with no coding region annotated. Lineage: Eukaryota; Viridiplantae; Streptophyta; Magnoliopsida; Poales; Poaceae. The transcript has 8 exons. The record is from RefSeq and is marked validated.
GCCAGCCGUCUCCUUAUCCCUGCGAUGCCGCUCACCUGGGCUCAUCUUCCAGCCGCCCUCCGCCCAGCAGCAGAGCACACCAUCCUCUCAACUCGGAUCCCCAAGCCCUCGCCUCCAGCUCUUGCCACGGCAUCCAUCCCCUGUUCGGACCUCCACCCGGCCGCGUCCUCGCCGGUGGCCAGCGCCGCUGCAUCGCCCUUCCUAGCGUCGGCCUUGGCACCGCUUCCCCGAGCGCCCCAGUCGAGCUCGCCCAUCCUCUGCUCUAGCCCUUUCUCCACGCCGUCGCUGAGCUCGCCCCUCCCCUCAGCCAUGGACACGACGACCUGCAGCCCUUCUUGGUGGCCAAGCCCAUCUUCCUGCUCGCGCCCCCUCUUUUUCCACCUCUGCGCGUAUCAGCUCGUCCAACCCCCAUGGUGUUUCCUCCCUCUCGGCUCCCUUGCUCCCUCCCCAUGGCGUUCCCCCUGGAUGUUGGUGAUCUGUUCCCCACGGUGCAGGCAAAUGUUCUUUCCCUCCCUGCAGCAGCACCUUGGUGGUUGUCGAGCAGCACGUCGCGCUUGCGCAGCCUCGGUCACGACGUUGUUCACCCCGGUGUCAUGUGUUCGCCGAAAUGCCUAAACAUGUAGUCUGUCGUCGUCGUAUCCACAGUCAAUUUUAGUCAUGGGGAACUUGGUACAGCCAUCCAUGGUAUCAGAAUAUGACCUGGGAGGAGAAGGGGACCUGUUCAAAGCUCCAGAAGCCAUCAUCGAGGAACCGCUGCUCCUGAACUGUCUGUCUGAUUCUGUUCAUUUGUUGCUGUGUAGGCUGGGCUUGUGCCAAGCUUGAAUCCUCUUGUGAAGGAGUUUCUCAAUGCUGCUGAUGACAAGCGGAAGGAAGUCCUCUCUAAAAUAGAAGAGGAUGUUGCUAAGCUCAGCGGUUCUGCAGCCAACUAAGAAGCUACAAGUGAAUGCCGAGGAGAGCAGCGAUGACUUGGCUAACCCACCGAAGGUAGAGGAGAAGCUUGGUGCUGUCCCUCAUGGCCUGUCCACCGACUCUGAGGUUGCCCAGAGGGAAGCCGAGUCUAUCUCUAGGAAGACUCUCAGGAGCUCAGCCGAGAAGUUUGAGUUCCAAGCUGAGGUUUCCAGACUCAUGGACAUCAUCAUCAACUCACUCUACAGCAACAAGGAUAUCUUCCUGAGGGAGCUCAUAUCUAAUGCCUCUGAUGCUGGAUAAGAUUAGGUUCCUUUCCCUUACUGAUAAGGAAGUUCUGGGUGAAGGGGACACUGCAAAGCUUGAGAUUCAGAUUAAGUUGGACAAAGAGAAGAAAAUCCUCUCCAUUCGGGAUAGGGGUAUUGGUAUGACAAAGGAAGAUCUUAUUAAGAACCUUGGAACGAUUGCUAAAUCUGGCACUUCAGGUACUGCCUUUUCAUCUUUCCAGCUGAUUACUGCACUCAUAAUAUUUGUUUAUGAGUGCAGGAACAGGAGCUGCUCGAGUCUCUUGUCGAAGCUGAUACGAGAAGGCAGGAAAGAGCUAAGAAGAUGGAAGAAAAGAAAGUGUAUCUGCAACUAUACGAAGCAAUGGAGGCGUUGGUCAAGAUCAAUCUGGAGACCAACAAGAUCAUGGACUUCAUCAAGUUUGACGUCGGCAACGUGGUCAUGGUGACUGGCGGGAGGAACACCGGGCGUGUAGGAGUCAUCAAGAACAGGGAGAAGCACAAGGGCAGCUUUGAGACCAUUCACGUGCUGCUUGGAGCUUUUUGCUAUGUCUAGUUUUCUCCUAUUUGUUGUACAGGAAAACAUAGAAUAGAAUUCAAAUUUGGUGGU